Molecule: ribosomal RNA, 484 nt
Filed under: uncultured bacterium
Lineage: Bacteria
Description: partial 16S ribosomal RNA
Rfam family: Bacterial small subunit ribosomal RNA
Source: RNAcentral
AUUGAACGCUGGCGGCAGGCCUAACACAUGCAAGUCGAGCGGAUGAAGGGAGCUUGCUCCUGGAUUCAGCGGCGGACGGGUGAGUAUUGCCUAGGAAUCUGCCUGGUAGUGGGGGAUAACGUCCGGAAACGGGCGCUAAUACCGCAUACGUCCUGAGGGAGAAAGUGGGGGAUCUUCGGACCUCACGCUAUCAGAUGAGCCUAGGUCGGAUUAGCUAGUUGGUGGGGUAAAGGCCUACCAAGGCGACGAUCCGUAACUGGUCUGAGAGGAUGAUCAGUCACACUGGAACUGAGACACGGUCCAGACUCCUACGGGAGGCAGCAGUGGGGAAUAUUGGACAAUGGGCGAAAGCCUGAUCCAGCCAUGCCGCGUGUGUGAAGAAGGUCUUCGGAUUGUAAAGUACUUUAAGUUGGGAGGAAGGGCAGUAAGUUAAUACCUUGCUGUUUUGACGUUACCAACAGAAUAAGCACCGGCUAACUUCGUG